RNAcentral lists this ribosomal RNA (1113 nucleotides) under Porphyromonas gingivalis. RNAcentral describes it as "bacterial SSU rRNA". It matches the Rfam family "Bacterial small subunit ribosomal RNA", at positions 8 to 1125 of the family's 1533-position model. Lineage: Bacteria; Pseudomonadati; Bacteroidota; Bacteroidia; Bacteroidales; Porphyromonadaceae. The record is from RNAcentral.
AGAGUUUGAUCAUGGCUCAGGAUGAACGCUAGUGAUAGGCUUAACACAUGCAAGUCGAGGGGCAGCAUGAUCUUAGCUUGCUAAGGUUGAUGGCGACCGGCGCACGGGUGCGUAACGCGUAUGCAACUUGCCUUACAGAGGGGGAUAACCCGUUGAAACCGCAUACACUUGUAUUAUUGCAUGAUAUUACAAGGAAAUAUUUAUAGCUGUAAGAUAGGCAUGCGUCCCAUUAGCUAGUUGGUGAGGUAACGGCUCACCAAGGCGACGAUGGGUAGGGGAACUGAGAGGUUUAUCCCCCACACUGGUACUGAGACACGGACCAGACUCUACGGGAGGCAGCAGUGAGGAAUAUUGGUCAAUGGGCGAGAGCCUGAACCAGCCAAGUCGCGUGAAGGAAGACAGUCCUAAGGAUUGUAAACUUCUUUUAUACGGGAAUAACGGGCGAUACGAGUAUUGCAUUGAAUGUACCGUAAGAAUAAGCAUCGGCUAACUCCGUGCCAGCAGCCGCGGUAAUACGGAGGAUGCGAGCGUUAUCCGGAUUUAUUGGGUUUAAAGGGUGCGUAGGUUGUUCGGUAAGUCAGCGGUGAAACCUGAGCGCUCAACGUUCAGCCUGCCGUUGAAACUGCCGGGCUUGAGUUCAGUGGCGGCAGGCGGAAUUCGUGGUGUAGCGGUGAAAUGCAUAGAUAUCACGAGGAACUCCGAUUGCGAAGGCAGCUUGCCAUACUGCGACUGACACUGAAGCACGAAGGCGUGGGUAUCAAACAGGAUUAGAUACCCUGGUAGUCCACGCAGUAAACGAUGAUUACUAGGAGUUUGCGAUAUACCGUCAAGCUUCCACAGCGAAAGCGUUAAGUAAUCCACCUGGGGAGUACGCCGGCAACGGUGAAACUCAAAGGAAUUGACGGGGGCCCGCACAAGCGGAGGAACAUGUGGUUUAAUUCGAUGAUACGCGAGGAACCUUACCCGGGAUUGAAAUGUAGAUGACGGAUGGUGAAAACCGUCUUCCCUUCGGGGCGUCUAUGUAGGUGCUGCAUGGUUGUCGUCAGCUCGUGCCGUGAGGUGUCGGCUUAAGUGCCAUAACGAGCGCAACCCACAUCGGUAGUUGCUAACAGU